UUUCGAUUGCAAUUACCUUAGGCAAGGCUACGGCGUAGGGCCCCAAACAACGCUAAGAAAUCUCACUUUGACUCUCCCAUACCAGUAAGCCCUCCGUUCCAUCUCUGUUCGAGAUGCCGAUUGUUGAAUACGGGAACGUCUGGAACUCCCUACCGUUGCCUUGAUGGAAAUCAUCAUCGUUCUCUUCGUGAAUUAUGACUUUGUAUCAACUAGCAUAAUUCGCCGUGGAAGAAGUGAGGAAAAAAACCAACACUUAGCCAAGGCGCUCAUGCAUGGAAUUACUGCACGUCUCUCCAUUCAUCGAACACCCACUAAUAAAUAAAUGGAGGUGAUUGGCCAUGGGGCAGUUCUGACUAUUCAAGCCCUCACAGCCGACGGCGCA
RNAcentral lists this small RNA (382 nucleotides) under Histoplasma capsulatum. RNAcentral describes it as "hypothetical RNA". Lineage: Eukaryota; Fungi; Ascomycota; Eurotiomycetes; Onygenales; Ajellomycetaceae. RNAcentral also lists the same sequence under 1 other name. The record is from RNAcentral.